This 301-nucleotide ribosomal RNA is filed under the name uncultured bacterium. RNAcentral describes it as "partial 16S ribosomal RNA". It matches the Rfam family "Bacterial small subunit ribosomal RNA", at positions 509 to 807 of the family's 1533-position model. The record is from RNAcentral.
CAUCCGCCACGGUAAUACGUAGGUGGCAAGCGUUGUCCGGAAUGACUGGGCGUAAAGGGCGCGUAGGCGGUUUGCACAGUCAGAUGUGAAAUUCCUGGGCUUAACCUGGGGGCUGCAUUUGAUACGUGCGGACUUGAGUGUGAAAGAGGGUCGUGGAAUUCCCAGUGUAGAGGUGAAAUUCGUAGAUAUUGGGAAGAACACCGGUGGCGAAGGCGGCGACCUGGUUCAUGACUGACGCUGAGGCACGAAAGCGUGGGGAGCAAACAGGAUUAGAUACCCGCGUAGUCCCUGUCUCUUAUAC